RNAcentral lists this ribosomal RNA (513 nucleotides) under uncultured bacterium. Its description in RNAcentral is "bacterial SSU rRNA". It matches the Rfam family "Bacterial small subunit ribosomal RNA", at positions 387 to 918 of the family's 1533-position model. The record is from RNAcentral.
UCUAGCCAUGCCGCGUGAGUGAUGAAAGCCCUAGGGUCGUAAAGCUCUUUCGCCAGGGAUGAUAAUGACAGUACCUGGUAAAGAAACCCCGGCUAACUCCGUGCCAGCAGCCGCGGUAAUACGGAGGGGGUUAGCGUUGUUCGGAAUUACUGGGCGUAAAGCGCGCGUAGGCGGAUUAGAAAGUUGGGGGUGAAAUCCCGGGGCUCAACCCCGGAACUGCCUCCAAAACUACUAGUCUAGAGUUCGAGAGAGGUGAGUGGAAUUCCGAGUGUAGAGGUGAAAUUCGUAGAUAUUCGGAGGAACACCAGUGGCGAAGGCGGCUCACUGGCUCGAUACUGACGCUGAGGUGCGAAAGUGUGGGGAGCAAACAGGAUUAGAUACCCUGGUAGUCCACACCGUAAACGAUGAAUGCCAGUCGUCGGGUCGCUUGCGCUUCGGUGACACACCUAACGGAUUAAGCAUUCCGCCUGGGGAGUACGGUCGCAAGAUUAAAACUCAAAUGAAUUGACGGGG